CAAUAGCGUAUAUUAAAGUUGUUGCAGUUAAAAAGCUCGUAGUUGAAUUUUUGCUUGCCGCCGAUGUCGGAACUUCCGUACGUUCGGCGGCGUGCAUCCUUGGGUGGAACCUGUGUGGCAUUAGGUUGUCGUGCAGGGGAUGCUCAUCGUUUACUGUGAAAAAAUUAGAGUGUUCAAAGCAGGCUUACGCCGUUGAAUAUAUUAGCAUGGAAUAAUAAUAUAGGACCUUGGUACUAUUUUGUUGGUUUGUGCACCGAGGUAAUGAUUAAUAGGGACAGUUGGGGGUAUUCGUAUUGUAUUGUCAGAGGUGAAAUUCUUGGAUUUUUGCAAGACGAACGACUGCGAANGNAUUUAGNAAGGAUGUUUNCAUUA
RNAcentral lists this ribosomal RNA (372 nucleotides) under uncultured eukaryote. RNAcentral's name for it is "partial 18S ribosomal RNA". It matches the Rfam family "Eukaryotic small subunit ribosomal RNA", at positions 592 to 975 of the family's 1831-position model. The record is from RNAcentral.